RNAcentral lists this long non-coding RNA (411 nucleotides) under Chrysolophus pictus (golden pheasant). Its description in RNAcentral is "lncRNA (ENSCPIG00010009557.1)". Lineage: Eukaryota; Metazoa; Chordata; Aves; Galliformes; Phasianidae. The record is from RNAcentral.
UUCCUGUGCUGGUUGAGAUGUUAGCUGCCCUAUUUCCCUUUCCUGUAAUCUGACUGUAGUAAGGGUAGAUUGUAUGCAGUGAUAAAAAGGGCCCUAUCUUCUCUCGCGGUAAAUUUUUUGCAUAUGUACUUUUUCAAAUUUUUGUUUACAGAAGCUUGCAGAAUCUUCAUGUGGCUUAUGUAAAAACAACAACACUUCUGCUGGGACAGUUGUCCAGGUUGACUCACCUCCAUCCUUAGUAUGUGAGUUUAGAAGUGCUCACAGACCCGCCGGUGUGCUCCUACAGACCCCACAGCCUAAACAGCAGAGCUGAGCAGGUGCCAGAUUUCCUCCGUGGUUGAAGUGCUUCAGCAUACCUCUGCUGCACCAGGAAGAGCUGCGUGCUCCAACUGCUGGCCUUCAGCUGGGGGA